Molecule: small RNA, 125 nt
Filed under: Marmota monax (woodchuck)
Lineage: Eukaryota; Metazoa; Chordata; Mammalia; Rodentia; Sciuridae
Source: RNAcentral
GCCGGGCACCGUGCCGCACACCUGUAAUCCCAGCCGCUCAGGAGGCUGAGGCAGGAGGAUCACGAGUUCAAAGCCAGCCUCAGCAACUGCGAGGCGCUAACCAACUCAGUGAGACCCUGUCUCUA